Mauremys reevesii (Reeves's turtle) is the source of this 1377-nucleotide long non-coding RNA. RefSeq lists it as uncharacterized. NCBI's taxonomy places the organism in Eukaryota, Metazoa, Chordata, Testudines, Geoemydidae. The transcript has 8 exons. The record is from RefSeq and is a predicted model, not a curated record.
CCACAGAUAUCUCCCGCGGGGCCGCAACGGCUGAUGGGAGAUGGAGGCAGCGGACAUUACACUACAUCUCCCACAAUGCAGUGCGCAGCGGGGGGAAGUGGCGGUUCUGAGCGGAACCGUGAAACAGCCGUCGGUGCCCGAGAGCUACGCCACCUGCAGAGAGACAGCCAGAUGUUUCCAGAUCCAGUAUCGAGUCGUAUUGUGACGUGAAGGUACCAAGGGAAAAUAAGUCACGUGCCAGAAUCUACUGCCCUCAUGUGAUGGAAAGUGAAGGAGAGCGAUGACACUGCAAGUAUUGUCGAUGCCACGCAAAAGCCGUCCAACUGGGAGCGGAACAGCUGCCACUCUCAAUGAGAAGUGUCUGUUUUGGUGAUUGCUCUGCUCAUGGCCCUCCCUGCUCCUGGUAGGGACGCCACAUUAGCUGGGGCUGGGUUUGUAAGAAAAUGUUCUUGACUAGCUGUAGUUACGAAGGGCACAAGGUCCCCAUUUUCAGAGGCUGCUCAAUUCUCUGGCCAGGAGCGGCGAGUUCUCUUCAGUAGAAGGUUGGAUCCAGGAGGAUGACUGCAGGUGGACACAGGCAGGGUGCUAGGUGUGCAUCCUCACAGGCUAGGUCUUGGGAGCCAUGGAAAAGGAAGAGCAGAGAAAAAUCAUGAGGGGCAGUGGGCGCUGAAGUGGAGCGGUGACUCUGAUUACUCAUCCGUGUUCAUCGAGUCGGGCUCAGGUGCACUUCCAGAGGAAGUGUCCAGGAGCCCCAGCCCGAGGAGAAGCUGGCAGAAGUGGAUCUGAUCAGCCUGAACAUCCUUCUAAGCAGACAUGAGCAGUCCUCAGCUUUCUGCCUCGCACAUAACACUUCAUGACUUUUAGCAGCACGGCUGAAGCUUAAGAUAAAUGCAUGGUAGAGGCUGAGUACAGGCGGCUGCUUCACUUUAGUACCACAGACAAAGAAGUCAAGGGUAAGAGCCCACCCCUGUUGUGAGAUGGAAAGCGCACAAGAGCCGUGAGACAGUGAGCGUUGUUGAUGCCAGGAUAUGCAGAUACCGUCGAACUGGAAGUGGAGCAGCCGUGACCAUCAGUGAGGACACAGGCAGUGGUGCUAGCUGUGCAUCCCCGCAGGCUAGGUCUUGGGAGCCAUGAAGAAGUAGGAGGGGAUGAAAAUCAUGCUGGACAGUGGGUGCGAGAGUGGAGCGCUGCGCUUCUAGAGGAAUCAUGGAGGAGCAGCAGCCGAAGGAGAAGGUGGCAGACGUGGACCUGAGCAGUUUGGACAUUGUUCUAAGCAGAGAUUAACAGUCCUCAGCUUUCUGCCUUGCACAUAACUGGCUGUGAGUAAGUGAUACUAUAUUCAAAGCACUGAACUCCUCACUUAAAGUCGCCCCGGUU